RNAcentral lists this ribosomal RNA (220 nucleotides) under Lumbricidae sp. ZUTC:6576. RNAcentral describes it as "partial 12S ribosomal RNA". It matches the Rfam family "Bacterial small subunit ribosomal RNA", at positions 1223 to 1520 of the family's 1533-position model. The record is from RNAcentral. Lineage: Eukaryota; Metazoa; Annelida; Clitellata; Crassiclitellata; Lumbricidae.
UACGUCAGGUCAAAGUGCAGCUAAUAAAAUGGGGACGAUGGGUUACACCCUAAAAAAAGAUACGGAAUAAAAUAUUAAGAGCUUUAUAAAGGAGGACUUGGAGGUAAUAUUUAAAUAUUUAAAUAUGAAACUGAAUCUAAGACAUGCACACAUCGCCCGUCACUCUCACCUUAAGGCGAGAUAAGUCGUAACAAAGUAGGUGUAACGGAAGUUGCACCUG